This is a long non-coding RNA of Cyprinus carpio carpio, 1797 nucleotides long. The record is from Ensembl. NCBI's taxonomy places the organism in Eukaryota, Metazoa, Chordata, Actinopteri, Cypriniformes, Cyprinidae.
AUGGAAGAUGAACUGAUACAACUUAGAGACGCUGUGCUACAACUGCGAGCUGAAAACGAAUGUCUGCGCCAGGAGCCAGCGGCAACGGUGUCAACGGACUCUAUCCCGGCCCUCUGUGACAACACUGCAGCAAGGCCAUCUACAAGUAUGGCUGCAGAAGGAGAAAAUUAUUCAAGUGAUGGAAGGAGUGCGGGCGAUCACUUGCUGGCUAUCACGCAGGGAAGGAGAUCAGCGGCAGAGUAUGCACUAUCAUUUCGAACCCUCACAGCUCAAACCACCUGGGUGGAGGACACUCUAAAGGUAUUUUUUCGAAGGGGCUUGAGUCACGAUCUGCAGUCCGAAUUAGCAUUCCAAGAUGAGGGAAAGUCUUUGGAUCAAUUCAUCGAAUUUACCAUUCAGAUUGAUAAUCUCCUCUGAUCACGCCGUCCUUCUCCACGAAUGUUAUCAACAGUAACCACGGAUCACCCCGAGCCCAUGCAAGUGGAUACUUACCACAUCUUUCUGGAGGAGAGAGAGCAACGCCUCACUUUGAAGUUGUGCCUCUACUGUGGUGAGACCGGUCACCUGAUAAUCAACCUGUCCAUCCUGAACCUGCCGAGAUCCUGCGACCCGGGUGAGUGUACCCAUUUUAGCCCUCAAUGCUGAGAACUGUGUUACUGUCCCUGUCACUAUUACUCUGCCCACAAGAACUGUGUCAGUAGUGGCUAUGUUGGAUUCUGGGGCUGCAGGAAAUUUUAUGUCUUCGGAGUUUGCUAUGGAACAGUGUAUCUCCCUAAUCAAGUAUGUGUCUCUCCUUUGGCAGUCGAAGCGGUAGAUGGACGACCACUGGGCAGCGGGAAGAUAACUCAUCUCACUACAGAACUCACGAUGAGGACUGGAGCUCUACAUCAAGAGACCAUCCAAUUUUAUAUAAUCUCAAAAUCUCAUGCACCAAUCAUCCUUGUACUGCCUUGGCUGCGCAAGCACGAUCCCACUAUCUCCUGGAAUGAAGCUCGGAUAAUCCAGUGGAAUAAGGUCUGCUUUCCUCGCUGUAUUUCUGCUAUCACCCCACUGCUGCUCCAAACAGCUUCCAUUCGGGAGACAAACAUCCCCGGGCUGCCUCCUGUCUACCAGGCUUUUAGCAAGAUCAGGGCCUCCAAAUUAACACUGUAACUGACCUUCUGACUGUGCCAUUGAUCUCUUGCCCGACACCGUCCCUCCCAAGGGCUGUAUAUUCCCUCUGUCUCAACCCAAAACCAGGGCCAUGGAAGAGUAUAUCAAGGAGGAACUGGCUAAGGGCUUCAUUCAACCCUCUACCACCCCAGCUUCAGCUGGCUUCUUCGUGAAAAAAAAAGGAUGGAUGCCUCCACCCCAGCAUUGAUUAUCGAGGUCUCAACGAGAUAACUGUUAAAUUCCGCUACCCCCUGCCUCUAGUGCCUGCUUUAGAACAAUUGAGAACUGCCAAAUUCUUCACCAAACUCGAUCUUCGCAAUGCAUACAACCUCAUUCAGAUUCGAGCUGGAGAUGAGUGGAAGACGGCCUUCUCCACAAGCUCAGAUCACUAUGAAUACCAGGUCAUGCACUUCGGCCUGGUCAACAGUCCGUCUGUAUUUCAGUCAUUCAUCAAUGACAUAUUCAGAGACAUGCUCAAUAGGUUCCUUAUAGUCUACAUCGACAUUUUAAUUUAUUCUACAACCCAGAAGGAGCACAUCCAGCAGGUCAGGGCAGUACUCAAAUGCCUAAUGGAACAUCAACUCUACACCAAGGCAGAGAAAUGUUAAUUCCACCUAACAGCAAUCUGGUUCCUAGGAUAUGUAA